This 23-nucleotide transfer RNA is filed under the name Eryngium maritimum. Its description in RNAcentral is "partial tRNA-Gly". The record is from RNAcentral. Lineage: Eukaryota; Viridiplantae; Streptophyta; Magnoliopsida; Apiales; Apiaceae.
CAUAAAAGAAUCAUGAAAAUUAG